ACACUAGUGGUUCAGUAGUAGAAUUCUCACUUUUCAUGUAGGAGACCUGGGUUCAAUUCCCAGCUAGUGUA
Molecule: transfer RNA, 71 nt
Filed under: Loxodonta africana (African savanna elephant)
Lineage: Eukaryota; Metazoa; Chordata; Mammalia; Proboscidea; Elephantidae
Rfam family: tRNA
About the family: Transfer RNA (tRNA) molecules are approximately 80 nucleotides in length. Their secondary structure includes four short double-helical elements and three loops (D, anti-codon, and T loops).
Source: Rfam by way of RNAcentral